CGAUGCCAGGGUCAAAAGGUCUUUCAUCCACAUGAGCUUGCUCAUAAGUGGAUGAAAGACCUUGGGAUCCGCCCCAAUAUGAGCCUAAAAGUGGGAUGACAAUCCCACGAUAUGCGAAUAAUUGGGAGGAUUGUGGGAGUGCAAAGCACGAAACAAUCCGUAGGCAUCA
This is a small RNA of Dorea formicigenerans CAG:28, 169 nucleotides long. It matches the Rfam family "Clostridiales-1 RNA". The record is from Rfam. NCBI's taxonomy places the organism in Bacteria, Bacillati, Bacillota, Clostridia, Lachnospirales, Lachnospiraceae.